CACUAUGGAUAAAGUUCCUGUUUAUACUGAGAAAAACUGGAUGUUUCCUGAAGCGGUGCUAGCCACCCAAUCUGUUAUCAAGAAGGAAGUGGCACAGAACUUACCUAAAGGAAAGCUGAGCACUACAAACAACAGCUCUAGCCCACCUGCAGCCAAGUAAUAACCUGAUUUAAGAUCAUUUGCUUGAGUUUGAUUUCUUUAUGAGCUGGUGGGUAACUCUUGUGAUUUUAAAAUAAUUUCAGGGCACAGAUUGUUGGUUGGCCUCCAGUGAGGUCCUACAGGAAGAACACAUUGGCCACCACUUGUAAGAACAGUGACGAAGUUGAUGGGAAGCCUGGUUCUGGACCCCUCUUUGUGAAGGUCAGCAUGGAUGGUGCUCCAUAUCUGAGGAAAGUUGACCUGAGGAGCUACACUAACUACGGGGAGCUUUCUGCAGCCUUGGAGAAA
This 447-nucleotide long non-coding RNA is filed under the name Brassica rapa (field mustard). RNAcentral describes it as "long non-coding RNA (BRAP_LNC004552)". Lineage: Eukaryota; Viridiplantae; Streptophyta; Magnoliopsida; Brassicales; Brassicaceae. The record is from RNAcentral.